ACUUUCAUAUACCUUCCACACACACAUACUCAUCUGUCACACUCACACCAUCAACCAUUUCUAAUCAGCAAUUGAGAAACUAAAAGGAACUAAAACUAAAAGGACUAAAAGGAACUAAUUCUAACCCAGCGGCCAUAAGUGAUUCAGUCCAGUUUACCAUACAGUCCUUAGAAUAAAUCUCCAGAACACAUUCGUAACAUGUCUUACAAUGAGAGGUGAACCAGGUAAGCAGUAUCUAUGUGAUCUUUGAACCCAAAUCAUGAUUGUGAACUUUUAACAUUAUAGUUUAACAACAGAUCCACUCAGACACAUGUCACACUGGUGAAAAGCACCCAUAGAACUAAGUUUUGAGAGCUUAAAAAAAUAGUGUUGCGUAAUGUUGUGUCUGGUUUUCACCAUUUUAUAUACCUACACUAAGCUUGUCCUUUUUCAUGUCAGGUGUAUUGUUGAUACAGGGAUAAACCAGGGUUUGACAAGAGUUGCCAGUGUCUGAUUCUACACCCGAACACAGCAGAGUGGGCGGGGCCUGCAGACCGACCCAGUUACACCUGCAGUGAGCAGACAGAGGAAGAGGAGUGUGAGAUCCACGGGGAAAGGAGCAGGAGAAAGAGAACGACAGCUGUCGCCAGCAGACGGGCAUUGACUGUCGGACUAAUUGAAAUCGUAAGAGGCCGGCGCCCAAGGACGGCGUGACAGCCGUGGUGCCAAUGACGAGAGUGAUGUUGGCUCGAGGUGACGGUGAACAGUUGAUACUCUGCCCCAUCAUGUGA
Molecule: long non-coding RNA, 770 nt
Filed under: Sparus aurata (gilthead seabream)
Lineage: Eukaryota; Metazoa; Chordata; Actinopteri; Spariformes; Sparidae
Description: lncRNA (ENSSAUG00010021773.1)
Source: RNAcentral